GCCCAACAAUGGCGGAGAAGGUGUUUGGCAUGUGGGCGAGCCCGAUGGCCAUCCGGGUUGAGCCGGCAACAUUUGUGACUAGGUUUGCAGGAAACAUCAAUUCAUUAAUCUGUUGCAUAAAACACCUUAUUAGCAGUAAAUUUGUUGCAAAAAGCACUGAUUGAAUGAUUUGACUCAUUUAAUCACUUUCUGACAAGUGGGGCCUAACUGUCAAGAGCUGACUUGGGAAACAAAUGUUAUACACACCCCUAAAUCUAAAAAUAAAAAGCAAUCAACCCCUUUGCAACCGCUGCCUGCCCUCGCAACAAACCACGCCACCGCCGCCGGAAGCCCACCCGCCUCCCUGCCUCGAUGACCGCAGCCCCGCUCGAUUGGAUCGAGAGGAGCUCCUCGAUCUAGAGCCUCCCCUCGUCCUUGGGCCUUCCGGCUACCAGCGAACGCCGCCGGCGAACCAACCCGGCGCACCCGCCGCCCCUCUGCCCUGCUCCUUCUCCAUCCUCCUUCUCUUCUCCCUGUGCCCUCUCUGACACAGCCGCCGGUUUCCGCAGGACCUCCAUGGAGAUCGCCCGAUUUGCUACAAAUCGCUAUGGCCGCCUCCCCAACAACUCGCCGUUGGAUCCGAGCAUGCCCGAUCUGGAGCACCUCUCCUGAUCUCCCUCGCGCCCGACCCCGCCUAGAUCCGGAGCCUCGCCGCCGGACCCCCUCCUCUGCGCCCCAUUCCAGCCGCUGUCGGCCAUGGCAGGAGCCACGCCGCCGCAUACUGAAACGGACGCUCCGCUGUCACCAUCCUGCCUUGCGCCGUCGUCGUCUGCACUUCGUUGUCCCCAUCAUCAACGCCAUCAACACCGGCCUGGACGCCGCCGAUCGCUGCAGCAUCGGCAAGCCAACCUAAAAAAUGAGCACACUCCGGCCACCUCCUCGUCCCUCGUCGCGGCCAUAGCCAGGCAACAAGGACGACAACGGCGCCAGGGCGCCGCGUGCCGGACGAGUUCACGCUGCUUCGGCAGGAGGGAUUGUGCACGGUGGUGUGCGUGUGGGGGGUCUGAUUGCUUUUGUUUUUUUAAUCUAGGGGUGUAUGUGUUAUUUUUUUGCUAAGUUAAUUCCUUACAAUCUGGCCCCACUUGUAAGAAAGUGAUUAAACGAGUGAAAUCAUUCAAUCAGUGCUUUUUGCAAC
RNAcentral lists this ribosomal RNA (1174 nucleotides) under Triticum aestivum (bread wheat). RNAcentral's name for it is "partial small subunit ribosomal RNA". Lineage: Eukaryota; Viridiplantae; Streptophyta; Magnoliopsida; Poales; Poaceae. The record is from RNAcentral.